RNAcentral lists this ribosomal RNA (499 nucleotides) under uncultured bacterium. RNAcentral describes it as "bacterial SSU rRNA". It matches the Rfam family "Bacterial small subunit ribosomal RNA", at positions 29 to 507 of the family's 1533-position model. The record is from RNAcentral.
ACGAACGCUGGCGGCGUGCCUAAUACAUGCAAGUCGAGCGGAAUGAUGAAGAAGCUUGCUUCUUCUGAUUUUAGCGGCGGACGGGUGAGUAACACGUGGGCAACCUACCUUGUAGAUUGGGAUAACUCCGGGAAACCGGGGCUAAUACCGAAUAAUCCAUUUUGCUUCAUGGCGAGAUGUUGAAAGACGAUUUCGGCUGUCACUAUAAGAUGGGCCCGCGGCGCAUUAGCUAGUUGGUAGGGUAAUGGCCUACCAAGGCGACGAUGCGUAGCCGACCUGAGAGGGUGAUCGGCCACACUGGGACUGAGACACGGCCCAGACUCCUACGGGAGGCAGCAGUAGGGAAUCUUCCACAAUGGACGAAAGUCUGAUGGAGCAACGCCGCGUGAGUGAAGAAGGUUUUCGGAUCGUAAAACUCUGUUGCAAGGGAAGAACACGUACGAGAGUAACUGCUCGUACCUUGACGGUACCUUAUUAGAAAGCCACGGCUAACUACGUG